CACGUAGGGUCCGAGCGUUGUCCGGAAUUACUGGGCGUAAAGCGUGCGCAGGCGGUUGGGUCAGUCGCUGGUGAAAGCCCCGCGCUCAACGUGGGAAUGGCCAACGAGACGGCCCGACUGGAGGCAGGGAGAGGCCGGUGGAAUUCCGGGUGUAGUGGUGAAAUUCGUAGAUAUUCGCAAGAACACCAGUAGGCGAAGGCGG
This 202-nucleotide ribosomal RNA is filed under the name uncultured bacterium. RNAcentral describes it as "partial 16S ribosomal RNA". It matches the Rfam family "Bacterial small subunit ribosomal RNA", at positions 524 to 724 of the family's 1533-position model. The record is from RNAcentral.